UUUGGGAAGGGAGAUUAGGAGAUUAAGGUUGUACAUGUACAAACCGCCUGCGAGAUGCCCGUGAACAGACAAGAUACUGCGGCCGCUUUGCGCCUGAUGGAAGAAUCGCUCUUGUUGGACCAGAACUUCCGGCACAAAGCGGAGAAACUCCUGGGGAUCUUCCAGAGUGAACUCUUCCAAGCCUUGCUGGAUAUCCAAGAGUUUUACGAAGUCACGGUUUCAGAGGCCUGCCCCCCGACUUCGCGGAGGUCUCGG
This is a non-coding RNA of Anolis sagrei ordinatus, 255 nucleotides long. The record is from RefSeq and is a predicted model, not a curated record. NCBI's taxonomy places the organism in Eukaryota, Metazoa, Chordata, Lepidosauria, Squamata, Anolidae.